Ursus americanus (American black bear) is the source of this 107-nucleotide small nuclear RNA. The record is from Ensembl. NCBI's taxonomy places the organism in Eukaryota, Metazoa, Chordata, Mammalia, Carnivora, Ursidae.
GUGCUCACGACGGCAGCACGUAUACUAAAAUUGGAACAAUACAGAGAAGACUAGCAUGGCCCCGAUCCAAGGAUGACACGCAAAUCUGUGAAAUGUUCCAUAUUUUU